This 130-nucleotide ribosomal RNA is filed under the name Hyaloscypha hepaticicola. RNAcentral's name for it is "partial 18S ribosomal RNA". The record is from RNAcentral. Lineage: Eukaryota; Fungi; Ascomycota; Leotiomycetes; Helotiales; Hyaloscyphaceae.
CCCACGGGUACCGUUCACAGACUAAGUGAUUGUGGGCGGGGCGAUCGUGCCCUGUCUAAGAUAUAGUCGGACUCUACCCGAAAGGAUAGAGGAUAGCAUGUCCGUAGGUGAACCUGCGGAAGGAUCAUUA